RNAcentral lists this ribosomal RNA (423 nucleotides) under Triticum aestivum (bread wheat). RNAcentral describes it as "partial small subunit ribosomal RNA". The record is from RNAcentral. Lineage: Eukaryota; Viridiplantae; Streptophyta; Magnoliopsida; Poales; Poaceae.
AUGGCGCGCUGGGCCAUCGCCAUCCACGGAGGCGCGGGCGUGGACCCCAACCUGCCGGAGCACCGCCAGGAGGAGGCCAAGCGCGUGCUGGCCCGGUGCCUGCAGGUCGGCGUCGACCUGCUCCGGGCUGGUGCGACGGCGCUGGACGUCGUGGAGGCCGUGGUGCGGGAGCUGGAGACGGACCCCUGCUUCAACUCGGGCCGCGGCUCCGCGCUCACACGCGCCGGCACCGUCGAGAUGGAGGCCAGCAUCAUGGACGGCCGCGGCCGCCGCUGCGGCGCCGUCUCCGGUGUGUCCACCGUUAAAAACCCCGUGUCCCUGGCCCGGCGCGUCAUGGACAAGUCCCCACACUCCUACCUCGCCUUCGACGGCGCCGAGGAUUUCGCGCGCGAGCAGGUAAUCCAUCAAUUAACGCCGAUAUGA